AAACUCAUUGAUUUUUCUUCUCCUAAGAACACGUUAACUCCUUCUACUACAGGUGAGUAAGUCUCCAAAGGUCGAGCAUCUGGUAGAUUGCAUAGUAACGUCGUUCAUCUAAAAAACAAAAAACAAACAAAAUAGGUUAGCCGAGCUACGGUGCUCUGAUUCUCAAUCCUUCUUGAGAUACGUAUGCAACAGGGUAGGGCCUGUGCGAG
Molecule: long non-coding RNA, 209 nt
Filed under: Lathyrus oleraceus (garden pea)
Lineage: Eukaryota; Viridiplantae; Streptophyta; Magnoliopsida; Fabales; Fabaceae
Description: Pisum sativum (pea) long non-coding RNA (PSAT_LNC037970)
Source: RNAcentral